GUCCAAGUGUUACUGGGGCGAUUGAGAAGAAAAGGAAGAGCAGUGAAGCACCUAUAAUGGCAACAAUUUCGUAAUGAAGGUAGUGAGAGAAUUGUUGAUUUUUAAUUCAAGAUCCCGAUGCAAUGUAGGAUCUAUGAUCACAUAAUUUUGAGUUGGGUAUGGAUAGAUAUCCUGCGCCCUAUUCUUAAAAUUGGAGUCUUUUUCCAAGUGUGCACAAUGUUUUUGCAUUCUAACCAACCAUAUCUCUAAUGGGCCACCUUUCUCUCUCCAUCUCCCCACCUCUAUUAUCAUA
Molecule: unclassified non-coding RNA, 292 nt
Filed under: Hevea brasiliensis (rubber tree)
Lineage: Eukaryota; Viridiplantae; Streptophyta; Magnoliopsida; Malpighiales; Euphorbiaceae
Source: RNAcentral